RNAcentral lists this long non-coding RNA (1779 nucleotides) under Nicotiana benthamiana. RNAcentral's name for it is "long non-coding RNA (NBEN_LNC016791)". The record is from RNAcentral. Lineage: Eukaryota; Viridiplantae; Streptophyta; Magnoliopsida; Solanales; Solanaceae.
ACAUACAGAAGACAGUAAAGAGGCCUGGAGAUUGAAGGCAGCUGGGGUUGUUUCUUCACAAAAACACACAUAUACGCCUAUACACAGAAGGAGACGCAUGUAAGAGAGGGCUGCAGAGUUGUGAUUUCUUCUUAACAAAUCCACGCAGAUACAAACACAUAUAUACGGAUACACUAUAGAAUAGAUAGGGAAGGGACGCCUGUAAAAGCUGAGACCGGAGGACACCCAAAUACCCCUCCCAGCGUUCUGCCUUUUCAAGCACACGAUCCCGCGCUUGAAAAUCAAUCACGCGAAACAAGCACACACUCUAAACGUGCUUCACACACUCUAAACGUGCUUUCACCUCUCUUCUGAACUAAAACAAAACAAAAAUAGCAGGAGAAGGGAAUUGAAAUGGAAACAGAAAAAGGGCAACAAGAACGGGAAAACAGGAGAGUUGAAAAAUAGUGAGAACAGAGGGAUCGAACGGACUUGUUUCAUUCUCAUUUCGAGUUCGAAUCUCUUUGAUUUUCAUGUUGAUUUCUGGUUUGCUUCUAAUUUUGAGUCGGGUCCCUAUCUAAGGUGAGUGGGGAUGUCGUUGAUAGUCUCGUCGAGGUUUCUGUUUGAGAUUGUUGUGUCGAGGUCUCUGUUCCAAACGAUUCCGAAUCCAAGUGCUAUUUGAUCCCAAGGUGCAUAUCAUAAAUCUAUGUUGUCCUUUGAUUUGCAAGAAAUGAUGGCUAACUAGUCUGAAUCCUUUGAUUGACUGAUUCAUUUAGCUUUGCAAGAAUUCUGUCUAGAUCUUCUUAAGCUCUAAAUAUGUAUAUUAUAUAUGAUUUUGUGUUGGAUCAUGAUUGAAGUUAAAUUAAAUGUGAUAGUGUUGAUAACUCUAUGUAUUAUUUAUUGAUGUAUUUUGUUUAAAUCACAGUAUCUCUAGAUAUAAUAGCAACGAAUAUGCUCUAAAUUUUGCUGCGCCUCCUUCUGUAAGAUAUCACCUUAUUUCAAGCUUAAUUAGUUCAAAUUGAAGGGUGAAAAUUGUGUGUGGUGACUCUUGUGACAUAGUUUAAACCAGAGGGUCAUGUGUAAAGCUUUACUUAUGAUGGUGGUCGAGCAAUUGCGUGUUUGUUUAUCAUAGAAGCCAUGAUCGAUCUUUUAAGCUUGUUACAUAUUCAGUAAUAUGGUUAUCUUCUGCAAAUACUUGCCGAGCAAUUGCGUGUUUUUUUAUCAUAGAAGCCAUGAUCGAUCUUCUAAGUUUGUUACAUAUUUGGUAAUAUGGUUAUCUCCUGCAAAUACUUGUAGCACUUUGCUGCACAUUAAUACGAUGACUCUUACCAAAAUGUUUGCUUUAUUUAUGUGUGUGUAGUGGUUACGAACUGUAGAUAUGCUAUUGUUCAUCUAUUAAAUACAUCUCCUAUUCUUAUCUGUUAGUUUUGAAGUCUGUUAGCUUGGUGAGACCGUGUGGAGUCGAAUUGGUUUACAUUAGUUGAACAAGGUUGCAUUGUGAUUGAAUCCAAUUUCAAAUUCUAGAAAGUUGGUUCAGUGUUUGUUUGAUGGAUCACUAUAUAGAUUUCCUUGUAAAAAAUAAAGUUUUGUCAUGUCUAUUAAUUUAAAGUUCUAGCCAUAACAUUUUUUUUUCUCUUAGUUAAUUUUCUUAAAAUAAUUUAGUCAACUUUAGUAUUUUGAUUUUAUAGGAAAUAUAGUUCCGUGAAUAGCUGAGAUGUGAAUCUUUUAUAAUUUACUAUUAAUUUAACAUAAUUUUGAAGAAGCUCCAAAACUUCAGAAUGAUUCCUACAUCUAUUGCCA